AAUAUUGGACAAUGGGGGCAACCCUGAUCCAGCAAUGCCGCGUGUGUGAAGAAGGUCUUCGGAUUGUAAAGCACUUUAAGUUGGGAGGAAGGGCUUUAGGCUAAUACCCUGAAGAUUUCACGUUACCACCAGAAUAAGCACAGACAAACUCUGACCCAGCAGCCGCGGUAAUACAGAGGGUGCAAGCCUUACUCGGAAUUACUUGGCGUAAAGCGCGCGUAGGUGGUUCAGUAAGAUGGGUGUGAAAUCCCCGGGCUUAACCUGGGAACUGCUUUCAUAACUGCUGGUCUAGAGUACGGUAGAGGGUAGUGGAAUUUCCUGUGUAGCGGUGAAAUGCGUAGAUAUAGGAAGGAACACCAGUGGCGAAGGCGACUACCUGGACUGAUACUGACACUGAGGUGCGAAAGCGUGGGGAGCAAACA
This 422-nucleotide ribosomal RNA is filed under the name uncultured bacterium. RNAcentral's name for it is "partial 16S ribosomal RNA". It matches the Rfam family "Bacterial small subunit ribosomal RNA", at positions 360 to 774 of the family's 1533-position model. The record is from RNAcentral.